UACGAAGGGGGCUAGCGUUGUUCGGAAUCACUGGGCGUAAAGCGCACGUAGGCGGACAUUUAAGUCAGGGGUGAAAUCCCGGGGCUCAACCCUGGAACUGCCUUUGAUACUGGGUGUCUUGGAGUCCGGGAGAGGUGAGUGGAACUGCGAGUGUAGAGGUGAAAUUCGUAGAUAUUCGCAAGAACACCAGUGGCGAAGGCGGCUCACUGGCCCGGUACUGACGCUGAGGUGCGAAAGCGUGGGGAGCAAACAGG
RNAcentral lists this ribosomal RNA (254 nucleotides) under uncultured bacterium. RNAcentral's name for it is "partial 16S ribosomal RNA". It matches the Rfam family "Bacterial small subunit ribosomal RNA", at positions 524 to 776 of the family's 1533-position model. The record is from RNAcentral.